RNAcentral lists this ribosomal RNA (254 nucleotides) under uncultured bacterium. RNAcentral's name for it is "partial 16S ribosomal RNA". It matches the Rfam family "Bacterial small subunit ribosomal RNA", at positions 524 to 776 of the family's 1533-position model. The record is from RNAcentral.
UACGGGGGGGGCAAGCGUUGUUCGGAAUUACUGGGCGUAAAGGGCGCGUAGGCGGCCAGACCAAGUCGAGUGUGAAAUUGCAGGGCUUAACUUUGCAGGGUCGCUCGAUACUGGUCGGCUAGAGUGUGGAAGAGGGUGCUGGAAUUCCCGGUGUAGCGGUGAAAUGCGUAGAUAUCAGGAGGAACACCGGUGGCGAAGGCGGGUCUCUGGGCCGAUACUGACGCUGAGGAGCGAAAGCGUGGGGAGCGAACAGG